UAACGCGUGGAUAACCUGCCUCACACUGGGGGAUAACAGUUAGAAAUGACUGCUAAUACCGCAUAAGCGCACAGCACCGCAUGGUACAGUGUGAAAAACUCCGGUGGUGUGAGAUGGAUCCGCGUCUGAUUAGCCAGUUGGCGGGGUAACGGCCCACCAAAGCGACGAUCGGUAGCCGGACUGAGAGGUUGAACGGCCACAUUGGGACUGAGACACGGCCCAG
This 223-nucleotide ribosomal RNA is filed under the name uncultured bacterium. RNAcentral's name for it is "partial 16S ribosomal RNA". It matches the Rfam family "Bacterial small subunit ribosomal RNA", at positions 111 to 334 of the family's 1533-position model. The record is from RNAcentral.